This is a long non-coding RNA of Melanotaenia boesemani (Boeseman's rainbowfish), 310 nucleotides long. RefSeq lists it as uncharacterized. Lineage: Eukaryota; Metazoa; Chordata; Actinopteri; Atheriniformes; Melanotaeniidae. The record is from RefSeq and is a predicted model, not a curated record. The transcript has 3 exons.
GACGACCUUCAGGAGGCGUCCUCGCUGCAAACGAUGGAAGAUGCAAAUAAAUGAGCCCUGAUUGGACCAAUCUUCCUGACGCUCAGCAGUGUUUACCUCCAAGCAGCUGGGACCCCGAGACUGGUUGAUGGCCUGUCCAGAACUGUGACGAAAGCUGAGAAUGAGUUAAUUUCUGACAGCAUCAUCCAUCCAAAACCUCACAGGCUGAAGCUGGUCUCCACUGAUCACCAUGUUUCACAGAAACUCCACUUGGUGUAGAAACGUGGUUCCUCCCACUGCGUCCAACUUGCGCCCAAAUGAGUCGAAAGUC